UGGUCUUGUAGGAGCCAGACCCUUCCACAGCAGUUUUUUGUUCUAAAACCGCCGUCCUGAUGGUGUUUAUAAAGGAAACACCUGUGGGCAUCCCCUCCAACAAAUGCCAGGUUUGGACGUGGUGUGAAGGAGCUGUGGCCCCACCUGCCCGGGAAGCACGAGGCAGGACAGAGGUGGGGUCACAGCCUGUCUUCUCCUUGACGUCUUCCACCCAGAGGUAAUAACAGUCAUUCACAUUCUUCCACCUUUCUUUCAGCAUGGGUUUCUGCAGCAGAUCCAUUUCAGUACCUGUUCUGGCCAGGCCCUAGCUCAGCCCCAGCCCAGCUUUUACACAAGCUCACAGCUCCAGCGAGGGCUCGCAGAGCAAAGGGGCAUCAAUUAAGGACACAGAACAAGUUUCCUCUUGCAAAUUCGGUGUUUAUCGCAACUCGGCUGUACAGCGAAAGAGCUAGAAGGGAGCAGAGCAGCAGCACGCAGCAGGAAAACUGGGCAGGAGGGCUCACCCCAGACUUCCUGCACGUCCCUUGCACAAAACAAUUUGAGAACCUGCUUUGUUUUGAACGCCUCGGUCUCACACACCCACCCACUGCAGCAGUUGCAGCUGAGAUCCUGAGAUUAACGCAUCCUCAGGUCCACAUGAGCUGAGGGCAAGCGUAGCUGUUGCUCAGCAGAAUGACUUGAGCUGCAAAAUUCACCUCUAAAAGAUCAAACCAAGCCAGAGCUUUGCUACCUUCAGGUCAUUAUGCUAGGACUGCUCUUUCAUCAAGUUUGCAACCUCAGGGAAUGAGUUGCAGAGCAAUCCUGAACGCACACAACAAAAAAAUAAAUCACCUGAGCUGGAUUCCCCAGGAGCAAGCAGCUUCAGCAAGCGAACCAAGUGUGGUUUUUCUUCUUUCAAGAAAUCAAUAAACUCUUAACCUGUGAAACCUACCCAGCUGCUACAGGAUGGAUGCUUUACACAUUCAAAACAAUGAUGGGAGCACCUCAAAGCUCAUUCCGUGGGCAGGUGCUGCUGAGUGUGUGUUCUCACCCCUGCCUUUCCCAGGACAGGAAGCAUUUCUGAAUCCUUAAUAAACUAGGAGAAGCUUCCCUACAAAUCUGCCUCUUUCAAAAUCUCUCCAUUUUAAACACGCUGCUAAAAUAAACUAUUUUUUACCUUGUGAAUAAUUUCCUAUGCUCUCCGUGUUUUCUCUCUCCCCAUUGCUGAGCAGCCAGCUGCAAACAGGGCAAGCAUCUUCAAAACCAGGAAGGGUGCAGCACAUCAACCCUGCUCUGCCAUCAGCCACACGUUUAUCAGGCUAGGAAAACCUCCACUGCAAAUUCAGAGCUGUGCCUCUAACAUGAUCCCUCAGGAUCCCUCAGGAUCGUGUUAGAGGCACAGUGCUCUUGCACAUUUUCCCUGUUAGCCCUGCUGCUCUCCAGAGGGGGCCCGAGGCACAGCCUCAGUGCAUCACUAUCUCUCUCUAUAGACAUACAUAUUUAUUUUUAAACAUUCAUGGGGAAAAAAAGCUGAAGAAAUAAGCUCAUCGUAACC
Long non-coding RNA from Cygnus olor (mute swan), 1534 nucleotides. RefSeq lists it as uncharacterized. Lineage: Eukaryota; Metazoa; Chordata; Aves; Anseriformes; Anatidae. The record is from RefSeq and is a predicted model, not a curated record. The transcript has 3 exons.